CUGGAGCCUCCCUCUCACUCAUUGGUGGUCCAGCUGUGAUGCAGUCAUCUCCUUCCUUCCUGCUGGUCAGAGCAUCUAUCUGGCCACUGUGUUUGGCACAGCCAUGGUUGGUCCUCCAAGAACACGUUCAGUUGUGUGUGAUGCAAUGACAGAAGUAACCAUAAGGAUGCAGAUGCAGCUUUCUGAGGCCCAGCCAACAGUCACCGUGAAGCUGAGUGGCAAGGACCAGAACCCUGAAACUGGGAGCAUUUCUCCCUAUACGUUCCCCUCUCCUCCCAGCUUUCCAAACCCCCACCAUCUGACUUUGUACCUCUUUCAAAUGAAAAGGUUGCAUAUUGCUGAGCUGACAGAGGCUCCCUACCCAGACUAAUAGAGCCCGCCACACGGAAGUAAUUUCUUGUUAAACUUCUAUCCAGUGAAAUCCAACCACUGCACACAGCAGGCCCGGCUGUGCUGGUACUGCCAGCCUGCCACCGAGGCGCAAGGGAAUAAAGGAAAAUGCUUAGCAUUAAAUUUCAUGUAAAUCAGACUUUAUUUGCUCUGGUGACAGGUUAUUACCUUCUGCAGGGAACGAGGGGAGAAACGGCUGCCACUGAAGACAGAGUUCCCCCAGUGAGCUUCCGUAGCAGCCUCCUGCAGCAAGCAUGCCUAACUCACCUGCUUUGCCCCGCCCAUUCUCUCUGCUAGCUUCUCUGUAAAUGGCCAGGGUCUACAGGCUCUUCUUGGCAUAGUAGCCCUGCCUACGCAGCCUUCCUGAUGCUUCAGAGAUGGUCACUAUUUAGGUGGACUUCCCCACUAAGGACAUUGGGCACUCUUCACCUUGCUUUGUGGCUCAGUCUAUCUCCCACCAAGAACAUUCUAUAUAGCAAUAAACUCAUUCAGACUCAGCUCA
This 892-nucleotide long non-coding RNA is filed under the name Mus spretus (western wild mouse). RNAcentral's name for it is "predicted gene 10530 (ENSMSPG00010042791.1)". Lineage: Eukaryota; Metazoa; Chordata; Mammalia; Rodentia; Muridae. The record is from RNAcentral.